Molecule: ribosomal RNA, 488 nt
Filed under: uncultured bacterium
Lineage: Bacteria
Description: partial 16S ribosomal RNA
Rfam family: Bacterial small subunit ribosomal RNA
Source: RNAcentral
AUUGAACGCUGGCGGCAGGCCUAACACAUGCAAGUCGAACGGUAACAGGAAGCAGCUUGCUGCUUCGCUGACGAGUGGCGGACGGGUGAGUAAUGUCUGGGAAGCUGCCUGAUGGAGGGGGAUAACUACUGGAAACGGUAGCUAAUACCGCAUAAUGUCGCAAGACCAAAGAGGGGGACCUUCGGGCCUCUUGCCAUCGGAUGUGCCCAGAUGGGAUUAGCUUGUUGGUGGGGUAACGGCUCACCAAGGCGACGAUCCCUAGCUGGUCUGAGAGGAUGACCAGCCACACUGGAACUGAGACACGGUCCAGACUCCUACGGGAGGCAGCAGUGGGGAAUAGUGCACAAUGGGCGCAAGCCUGAUGCAGCCAUGCCGCGUGUAUGAAGAAGGCCUUCGGGUUGGAAAGGACUUUCAGCGGGGAGGAAGGGAGUAAAGUUAAUACCUUUGCUCAGUGACGGGACCCGCAGAAGAAGCACCGGCUAACUCCG